UACGUAGGGGGCAAGCAUUAUCCGGAAUUACUGGGUGUAAAGGGUGAGUAGGCGGCAUGGUAAGCCAGAUGUGAAAGCCUUGGGCUUAACCCGAGGAUUGCAUUUGGAACUAUCAAGCUAGAGUACAGGAGAGGAAAGCGGAAUUCCUAGUGUAGCGGUGAAAUGCGUAGAUAUUAGGAAGAACACCAGUGGCGAAGGCGGCUUUCUGGACUGAAACUGACGCUGAGGCACGAAAGCGUGGGGAGCGAACAGG
RNAcentral lists this ribosomal RNA (253 nucleotides) under uncultured bacterium. RNAcentral describes it as "partial 16S ribosomal RNA". It matches the Rfam family "Bacterial small subunit ribosomal RNA", at positions 524 to 776 of the family's 1533-position model. The record is from RNAcentral.